RNAcentral lists this transfer RNA (69 nucleotides) under Astyanax mexicanus (Mexican tetra). It matches the Rfam family "tRNA". Rfam says of the family: Transfer RNA (tRNA) molecules are approximately 80 nucleotides in length. Their secondary structure includes four short double-helical elements and three loops (D, anti-codon, and T loops). Further hydrogen bonds mediate the characteristic L-shaped molecular structure. tRNAs have two regions of fundamental functional importance: the anti-codon, which is responsible for specific mRNA codon recognition, and the 3' end, to which the tRNAs corresponding amino acid is attached (by aminoacyl-tRNA synthetases). tRNAs cope with the degeneracy of the genetic code in two manners: having more than one tRNA (with a specific anti-codon) for a particular amino acid; and 'wobble' base-pairing, i.e. permitting non-standard base-pairing at the 3rd anti-codon position. The record is from Rfam by way of RNAcentral. Lineage: Eukaryota; Metazoa; Chordata; Actinopteri; Characiformes; Acestrorhamphidae.
GCAUUGGUGUUCAGUGGUAGAAUUCUCGCCUGCCACGCGGGAGCCCGGGUUCGAUUCCCGGCCAAUGCA